UUCCCAUUGAGCUUCAGCAACAUUGGUGAAA
This 31-nucleotide non-coding RNA is filed under the name Rattus norvegicus (Norway rat). The record is from RNAcentral. Lineage: Eukaryota; Metazoa; Chordata; Mammalia; Rodentia; Muridae.